ACCGCAGUUGAGAGUAUAAGUAAUUUACUAACCGAUGCAGCUAAGAGUACUUUUGGCACAUAUACCCAGCAAAAACUUAAUCCAAAUUUACAAAAAUAUAAGAAGGCAUCCAAACCGUGGUUUGAUGAUGAUUGUAAAGAAGCCAGGAAAAAAUAUAAAUCAUCAAAAAGAAAGUUGAGAAGAAAUCGAUCUCAACUUCAGGAGGCCGAAACUAAAUCAUUAGAGAAAAAAUAUAAGAGGACUAUGGAUAAAAGUAUGAGAAAACAUAGGAAAAAAAUUAGAAAUAAAAUAAAUAAUUUGAAAUCCACUAACCCAAAAGAAUAUUGGAAAAUUUUGAAUAGUGGAAAAAAACAGAAAAGCCCUAAUAUACCUAUGAACAUAUUGUUAGAUUAUUUUAAAACAUUAAAUGCUGGUAGCGCAAAUGAAGAUGGUGAAAAUGUAAACAAC
Molecule: long non-coding RNA, 447 nt
Filed under: Mytilus galloprovincialis (Mediterranean mussel)
Lineage: Eukaryota; Metazoa; Mollusca; Bivalvia; Mytilida; Mytilidae
Source: RNAcentral